GUCCACGCCGUAAACGAUGUGUGCUGGAUGUCGGUGGUAUUCACCCCCUCGGUAUCGAAGCUAACGCGAUAAGCACACCGCCUGGGGAGUACGGCCGCAAGGUUGAAACUCAAAGGAAUUGACGGGGGCCCACACAAGCGGUGGAGUAUGUGGUUUAAUUCGACGCAACGCGAAGAACCUUACCCAGCCUUGACAUCCCUGGAACCCGAUGGAAACACCGGGGUGCCCUCGCAAGAGGGAGCCAGGAGACAGGUGCUGCAUGGCUGUCGU
Molecule: ribosomal RNA, 270 nt
Filed under: uncultured bacterium
Lineage: Bacteria
Description: partial 16S ribosomal RNA
Rfam family: Bacterial small subunit ribosomal RNA
Source: RNAcentral